This 390-nucleotide ribosomal RNA is filed under the name uncultured bacterium. RNAcentral describes it as "bacterial SSU rRNA". It matches the Rfam family "Bacterial small subunit ribosomal RNA", at positions 29 to 417 of the family's 1533-position model. The record is from RNAcentral.
AUUGAACGCUGGCGGAAUGCUUUACACAUGCAAGUCGAGCGGCAGCGCGGGGGCAACCCUGGCGGCGAGCGGCGAACGGGUGAGUAAUACAUCGGAACGUGUCCUUAAGUGGGGGAUAGCUCGGCGAAAGCCGGAUUAAUACCGCAUAAGCUCUGAGGAGGAAAGCGGGGGCUCCGUAAGGACCUCGCGCUGUUGGAGCGGCCGAUGUCGGAUUAGCUAGUUGGUGGGGUAAAGCCCACCAAGGCGACGAAUCCGUAGCUGGUCUGAGAGGAUGAUCAGCCACACUGGAACUGAGACACGGUCCAGACUCCUACGGGAGGCAGCAGUGGGGAAUUUUGGACAAAUGGGGGCAACCCUGAUCCAGCCAUUCCGCGUGCGGGAAGAAGGCCU